This 74-nucleotide transfer RNA is filed under the name Solirubrobacteraceae bacterium. RNAcentral's name for it is "tRNA-Arg". It matches the Rfam family "tRNA". From Rfam's summary of the family: Transfer RNA (tRNA) molecules are approximately 80 nucleotides in length. RNAcentral also lists the same sequence under 1 other name. Lineage: Bacteria; Bacillati; Actinomycetota; Thermoleophilia; Solirubrobacterales; Solirubrobacteraceae. The record is from RNAcentral.
GCCCCGGUAGCUCAGCUGGAUAGAGCAGCGGACUUCUAAUCCGCAGGUCCCUGGUUCGAGUCCAGGUCGGGGUA